Molecule: long non-coding RNA, 1956 nt
Organism: Pseudoliparis swirei
Lineage: Eukaryota; Metazoa; Chordata; Actinopteri; Perciformes; Liparidae
Exons: 5
Source: RefSeq, a predicted model, not a curated record
GAAGAAAAAGAGAUUACCAUCUGGCUGCUUAUAAUAAAGAGGGUAAAAAAAAUAAACGGAUCAUGUGAUGUGGACCAAUAAGAGGAGAAAAAGGCCAGAUUAGAAAAGAAGAAUGUAUGAACAGUAAGAAUGUGUUAAAAAAAAUAAAUAAAAAAUAUAUAUAUAUAUAUAUAUAACACCCCCAUUUAUAAACUUUAACCAAUUGAAGUCCAGGGACUACAGAUACAAAAAAAGUGUUUUGACGAACUGGUGAUAUUUAUUGAUGUGCACUCUCCAUACGAAAUAAAAUACAAAAUGUAAUAAAUAAUAAAAUAUGCAAAAAGUAUGAACUGUACCUUGCUACCUAUUUAGAUAUAUUGUGAUUAUUAGAAUGACUAUCCAUUCCACAUAAAUGUAUCCCUCACAGUCUGUCCUUCUGGAUGUUUUGAGAGCGUCUAGCCUCUUGGCCAUAAAGAAAGUUCCCGUCUACACUCAAGUACUGGGCACAGCUGUGUUCAGGAGAUGAAGAAAGGGUAGAAAAGCAUCAACACCUGUUUGAGUGGCGAUAAGCAGCCCUAAACAGGCGGCCAGUGGCACCCCAGGCCUCUGUGACAAAAAGAGGGCCAUUGAAUUGCUCAAUCCCUCCCAUGGCCGUCAUCAGUGUGACGGGACUCUGCUAUGAUUGGCUGAACAAAAAGAACACCAAAAGUGUCCAAGUCCCAGUCGGCCAUCUGGGACUCCAGGCUCCGCCUCUUAAAGGGAAAGAACUUAUUUUUCUAUUUACCUCCUCUGUGUGGGAGUUUGUGUGUGCAGUGAAACUAGUGAUGAGGCUCGAGACAUUUUUUGUGGUUUAGAGUUAGACCGCCGAGGGGAACAUUUGAACUCAUAUAUGGCUCUUCUGAUGAAUACAAAAGGGGAUUUCCCAGCCCCAGCACACGCAUUUACUUUGAAAAGACGCAUCUCCAUUCUAACUUCAUUGUGAUGCGAAGAAAAAGCAUGAUCCGGACUGGGCCACAAAGGCCGCUACCCUUCAGAUCCUGGAGCAGCUCGAAACGGAUCAGUUCAGCGGGGCCUAUUCUUAAAAACGAGGGCACACGGAAAUCUCGAAAGAAAUCCCACGGCGGCGGUGAUCUCUGGCUUCAUCGUACCCCGGGCACAAAGGCGCCGACACAAGCUGCUACAGCAACAACAGCUCACCAAUCACAGCCCCGUCGCCGUCUGACGAGCCGCAUAUAGGAGGAGUGCAGCGGCCGCGUCACCGCUGAAAAUAAACAGUGAGCGUGCGUGUGGCUGUUUAUCCACAUAUGCAACAGGAAGAGUCUCUAUCAACUGAAAGAGUGCGUGAUCCCGUCAAACGCAGAGGAGGCGGCCAACAACGUUGUGCCAGGAAGCAGAGGAAUCUGCAUUCUGUCCAGUGGCCAGUCCCUACCUGCUCAUUAAAAUCAGUGGAAAAGUACAGGCCGCUGUUCUGUGUUGGUUACAGACCCCGUAUAUGAUGUCUCAUCGAGGGCUCCAGUCGUGAUGCAAUCAAACAGACCCCGACGACACCGACUGGUACAGAAACGCACACACAAUAUAGACGUGUGUGUGUGUGUGUGUGAAAAACAUCAGCGUAAUAGAGAUUGAAUUAUGCUGCCACCUUGGAUAUUCUCCAGUAUUUCCCGGAUGUCAUUUAUCGGACCACUCAAUUGACAAUUGAUUUUUUCUUUUGUCAAAAAAUUGACAUGAUGUUCAAAAGUGUGAGUUUUGUCUGAUUGACUUUCCAUUUUUCAAUGGAAAAUAUGGGAAAUAAAGCUUUUCACUUUAAAUACAUGUUGUUUUGACUUUAUUUGUACAAAAGUGGAGUAAAAUAUGUAACCUGUGAUGGUAUUUGGUAGUGAAAAUGUUGUCCAUCAUGCCUUUUGUCCUAAAUCUCUGAAGGUUUAAUUCUAUUUUCGUCUUGUAAUCUUGUAAAGUAUAAAAAAGGUGAUAAUUGAA